RNAcentral lists this ribosomal RNA (497 nucleotides) under uncultured bacterium. Its description in RNAcentral is "partial 16S ribosomal RNA". It matches the Rfam family "Bacterial small subunit ribosomal RNA", at positions 28 to 507 of the family's 1533-position model. The record is from RNAcentral.
GAUGAACGCUGGCGGCGUGCCUAAUACAUGCCAGUCGAGCGAGCAGACGAGGAGCUUGCUCCUCUGACGUUAGCGGCGGACGGGUGAGUAACACGUGGAUAACCUUCCUAUAAGACUGGGAUAACUUCGGGAAACCGGAGCUAAUACCGGAUAAUAUAUUGAACCGCAUGGUUCAAUAGUGAAAGACGGUUUUGCUGUCACUUAUAGAUGGAUCCGCGCCGCAUUAGCUAGUUGGUAAGGUAACGGCUUACCAAGGCGACGAUGCGUAGCCGACCUGAGAGGGUGAUCGGCCACACUGGAACUGAGACACGGUCCAGACUCCUACGGGAGGCAGCAGUAGGGAAUCUUCCGCAAUGGGCGAAAGCCUGACGGAGCAACGCCGCGUGAGUGAUGAAGGUCUUCGGAUCGUAAAACUCUGUUAUUAGGGAAGAACAAAUGUGUAAGUAACUAUGCACGUCUUGACGGUACCUAAUCAGAAAGCCACGGCUAACUACGUG